Molecule: non-coding RNA, 30 nt
Filed under: Mus musculus (house mouse)
Lineage: Eukaryota; Metazoa; Chordata; Mammalia; Rodentia; Muridae
Source: RNAcentral
UCAAAAGAACCUAAUUUUUGUAAACUGCGC